GCUGCAUCGGUUAGAUUGGGAUACUCAUCAAAUUAUUACCGAAAACCGAGAAUGCUUAACCGACUAAUGGCGUGCCGAUAUGCGCUUUGCGUAGGGUCGGAUUACAAAGGUCGGAGGGGCGCUCAAAUCUUAUUCUCUCGGAGUUUCAUCACAUCACUGAUGCAGCCUUUUU
This 172-nucleotide small RNA is filed under the name uncultured Alloprevotella sp. RNAcentral describes it as "Bacteroidales-1 6S-Bacteroidales RNA suggested". It matches the Rfam family "Bacteroidales-1 6S-Bacteroidales RNA suggested". The record is from RNAcentral. Lineage: Bacteria; Pseudomonadati; Bacteroidota; Bacteroidia; Bacteroidales; Prevotellaceae.